Molecule: long non-coding RNA, 383 nt
Organism: Alosa sapidissima (American shad)
Lineage: Eukaryota; Metazoa; Chordata; Actinopteri; Clupeiformes; Clupeidae
Exons: 2
Source: RefSeq, a predicted model, not a curated record
UGGUACUUGUUGUCUAGCAGAUACCAUUGAGAAUUGAGUGUGGAUAAUGCAAUUUAGUGAGACAGUUAGAGUCAUAUAGGCGUUUCAUAUAGGCGUGAUUUAUUUUUGUGGAAAAAAUGUGCUGGACUGGGCGGCGGUCAUAUUUUGUACCGCUCUGCGGUACAUCUAGUUCAUUUUUUCUUUUGUUGCCAUGUUCAACUUAAGUAUCAACUUUCACUUUGUGAAAUAGAUUGCAGGUGGUGAUCCAGUUGCAGAAGUUGUAGCUAUUUCAAAGGAGGACAUUGAGGCCUUUGUUCAAGAACGCACUGAGGCAGAUGCGGAUGUGUUUAACAAAGUGCUCAUCAACAUCGAGAAGGCCCAAGAGAGGCAGAAGGCAGCCUAUC